RNAcentral lists this ribosomal RNA (744 nucleotides) under Pseudocercospora crystallina. RNAcentral's name for it is "eukaryotic LSU rRNA". It matches the Rfam family "Eukaryotic large subunit ribosomal RNA", at positions 95 to 871 of the family's 3401-position model. The record is from RNAcentral. Lineage: Eukaryota; Fungi; Ascomycota; Dothideomycetes; Mycosphaerellales; Mycosphaerellaceae. RNAcentral also lists the same sequence under 1 other name.
GAAGCGGCAACAGCUCAAAUUUGAAAUCUGGCGCAAGCCCGAGUUGUAAUUUGUAGAGGAUGCUUCUAGGCAGCGGCCGUUCUAAGUUCCUUGGAACAGGACGUCAUAGAGGGUGAGAAUCCCGUAUGUGACCGGCACGCACCUUGUACGUAGCUCCUUCGACGAGUCGAGUUGUUUGGGAAUGCAGCUCUAAAUGGGAGGUAAAUUUCUUCUAAAGCUAAAUACCGGCUGGAGACCGAUAGCGCACAAGUAGAGUGAUCGAAAGAUGAAAAGCACUUUGGAAAGAGAGUUAAAAAGCACGUGAAAUUGUUGAAAGGGAAGCGCCUGCAACCAGACUUCGCGGCAGUGUUCCGCCGGUCUUCUGACCGGUCUAUUCUCUGUCGCGAGGCCAUCAUCGUCUGGGGCCGCCGGAUAAGACUGGAGGAAUGUAGCUCCCCUCGGGGAGUGUUAUAGCUUCCAGUGAUGCGGCGUGUCUCGGGCGAGGUCCGCGCUUCGGCAAGGAUGAUGGCGUAAUGGUUGUCGGCGGCCCGUCUUGAAACACGGACCAAGGAGUCUAACAUCUAUGCGAGUGUUCGGGUGUCAAACCCCUACGCGUAAUGAAAGUGAACGGAGGUGGGAACUUUUUGUGCACCAUCGACCGAUCCUGAUGUCCUCGGAUGGAUUUGAGUAAGAGCAUAGCUGUUGGGACCCGAAAGAUGGUGAACUAUGCCUGAAUAGGGUGAAGCCAGAGGAAACUCUGGUGGA